AGUAAGAAGAAGGAAAGCACUUCAGGUAUAUUCGAUGUUUCUUCUCUAAUUUUUUGAUUUUAGAUCUACUCUUUAAAUUUAUUUCAGCAUGUUAUAAGAUCUGUAGGUGAUUUAUGAUUUAGAUGUGCAUGCUUCAUAUGAAAGAUAUUUUCAUACAUGCUUCCGCUAGGUUAAGUAAGCUAAAAAAAAAUUCAACAUGCCCUAAUGACCUAAAACUCCA
RNAcentral lists this long non-coding RNA (220 nucleotides) under Elaeis guineensis (African oil palm). RNAcentral describes it as "long non-coding RNA (EGUI_LNC014160)". Lineage: Eukaryota; Viridiplantae; Streptophyta; Magnoliopsida; Arecales; Arecaceae. The record is from RNAcentral.